CCUACGGGUGGCACCAGUGGGGAAUAUUGCACAAUGGGCGCAAGCCUGAUGCAACCAUGCCGCGUGUAUGAAGAAGGCCUUCGGGUUGUAAAGUACUUUCAGUCGGGAGGAAGGUGGUGAGCUUAAUACGCUCAUCAAUUGACGUUACCGACAGAAGAAGCACCGGCUAACUCCGUGCCAGCAGCCGCGGUAAUACGGAGGGUGCAAGCGUUAAUCGGAAUUACUGGGCGUAAAGCGCACGCAGGCGGUUGAUUGAGUCAGAUGUGAAAUCCCCGGGCUUAACCCGGGAACUGCAUUCGAAACUGGCAGGCUAGAGUCUUGUAGAGGGGGGUAGAAUUCCAGGUGUAGCGGUGAAAUGCGUAGAGAUCUGGAGGAAUACCGGUGGCGAAGGCGGCCCCCUGGACAAAGACUGACGCUCAGGUGCGAAAGCGUGGGGAGCAAACAGGAUUAGAUACCCCGGUAGUC
This 465-nucleotide ribosomal RNA is filed under the name uncultured bacterium. RNAcentral describes it as "bacterial SSU rRNA". It matches the Rfam family "Bacterial small subunit ribosomal RNA", at positions 338 to 795 of the family's 1533-position model. The record is from RNAcentral.